Long non-coding RNA from Equus caballus (horse), 2544 nucleotides. RefSeq lists it as uncharacterized. The record is from RefSeq and is a predicted model, not a curated record. NCBI's taxonomy places the organism in Eukaryota, Metazoa, Chordata, Mammalia, Perissodactyla, Equidae.
AUCACAAUGGCCUCCAGGAUUGUGAGUGGCCUCUGGGAGCUGAGGGAAGCUUCCAGUUGAUGUCCAACAAGAAGCUGGGAUCCUUAGUCCUACAGGCAAAGGACACAAAUUCUGUCAACAACCUGAGUGUAUUCCUGGUCCUGCUCAGUGCUCUGGCAGGGUGAACCUCUACUGAUUGCAUCAAUUUGCUCCCUUUUCUCUGGCUUCUCAAUGGGUUCAGCCAAUGGGAGGCACCAGCAGGAAAUCAAAGAAUGGAAGGCAAGAGAAGGCUGCAUUCAAGAGCAUGUAAGCAUCUAAUGUGCAUGCACUGAACUUCUUCAAGGGACAAGAACCUGGCUCCUGAGGCCUGUGGGCUUCCACUUGACACCAGGAAUUCUAAAGUGCCCACACUCAAAAGAAGUCAUUCUCUUCCCCGGUGUCCUGAUUGAAAAAGAGUCACAUUGGAAAAUGUGCUGUAUCCAUUAACCUUUUUGCAAAGAGCAGAAGGUAAAGCCAGCCUCUGUGUUAUGAGGACACUCCAGCAGUCCUAUGGAGAGGAUCAUGAGGAGGGAAACCAAGAUCUCCAGAGGAACAGACACCCCCUGACAACAUCCAGGGGAGUAAGCUGGGAAGCAGAUUACCUGGUCUUGGUCAAGACUUCGUAUGACUGCAAUCCUGGCCAGCACCUUCACUGCAACUUCAUGAAAGAUCCUAGACCAGAACCAUCCAGUUAAGCUGUCCUGUUUUUCCAACCCAUGGAAAUAAUGAGAAAAUAAAUGUUUGUUGUUUUAGGUCAUUCUAUUUUGGAAUGAUUUAUCAUAUAAUAAUCAAUAACUAAUACAGUACCAGGGGCAGGUUUUAAUUUGGAAUGAGUGUAUAGGAAAAUAUAAAGAAUAUGGUCAGAAAAAUUUAUCUUUUAUCCUUUAUUUUUUUUAUAUAUAGAAAUUAAUAGGCAUUAUGUAGAGAAAAUAGGAACACUUUUCAUGGGGUAUUUGGGUUGCAAAGUCAGAAAAUAUAACUCACACUUAUGUCAUCAUCGUUAUAAUUCUUACCAAAUACUAUUAAAAAUAAACUAUUUCAAAUAGUACUCUUGUAUUCAAUGACUUUUAUAAAGCCAUUGAAUAACAUAUCCCAGCUCUUAGGAACUCACAGAAUAUAGCAAUCUCUACUCCAUAAGUAUUCUCUGUGUAAUGUUUUACUUCUUUCUUUCGUUUAUUUUUAUAAUAGAAAAUCUAUAUUCCAAAUUACUUAUCCAUUGUGUAUUAUAUUUUCACCAAUGAGAUAUAUGUUUUGAUAGUGCUUAUAAAGUUGUAUAGAAUAGCUGUUCAAUCAAUACUACAAUUGGUUUGCAAAGCAUGUAGGCAAAGCUCAAAUGCCACACUUUUUCUCUUUUUUAAAAUUGAUUUUAUAUUAGAUAUUUUAUUUUAUUCUAUAUUGUGUCAGGUAAUGACAAAACAAUUUCUUAGAAUAUGGAAAAAUUUUUAGAAUUUGCACAAUAACUUUGUAAAAAGUGAGUAAAGCCGACAAAUAAGAUGUACUCUUUAGGAAACAGGCUGUUUAAUGUGCUUAUUUAUAAAAAUAGCUAUCAACUGUGUUUCUAUAUUCCAAGUACUUUUGCCCGGAUAAUAAAACAAAAUAACUAAGCUUUUUGUAGAGAGGAUGCAAAUGAAAUAAUUUUUAUAUUCUUUUCCAAUACUCGUUAAAUAGAGCAGUGAUUUUAUUCAUUCUUAUUUUAGACAAUUGCAUUUAUUCACCUCCUCUUACAGAAAUCUGAGUCUAACCAAUACUAUUCAAAAGAGAAAACUAAUCAGCCUUAUGGAGAGAGACAGCUUGUCAUUCUCCACUUUCCGUAUCUACAUUAAUUUGGUUUUAAUUUGGUGUGGUUCUUCCAUUUAUCCAGGAACUGAGGCUUGCGAUUUUUUCUUAACUUGUGAGGGAAUCCUAAAUAUGUUUGCAUGGCAAAUAGAAAAGUUGUAAGCUGUAUACAGCAAGAAAACGCUCAACAAUGGUAAAACUCCAUCCUGUGUGCUGUAGGGUGACUAUCUACAUGUUUGUUUUAUUGAUUUUAAUUUGCAUAUCCUCUGUCUGUCCUUAAAUUAGAUGCAGGAUCUUAAUAAUUUCACUUGAAACUCAAAGCCCAGAUUUUGCUGUGUGAGGAAGUUUCUGAAUAAGACAUCAAGUUUCUAGCCAUCAGAGGAUAAUUUAUUGAUACUUGUCAAAAGGAAGUAUCAGUCUAACAGAAAUCAAGACAAAAGGAAUGCCUGAUGAAUUUUCUUUGAAGUGCCUUUUAUAAAAGUCCUUGGUAAUACAUAUUGAUGAACUCCAAAUUGUCUUGCCUGAAGGGAAAAGAAAGUAGACUGCUUUACACUGUCUUAUAAAUAUUCAUCAAAGGAACAAGACUUAUGUUUCCAGGCGUGAGGUGAAUGAUUACGGUUGUAUGAUUGCCUUGGAAUCUGGAUAAUUAGUAAAACAGCCGUUGACAGUUAGAGAAUUUUAAACUUGGUAUCUUGCUGUCACUUCAUUUGGAGUCAGAGAUAAAGCUUCCUAUGCCAAAGGGAAGCAAUU